Molecule: long non-coding RNA, 1617 nt
Organism: Oncorhynchus tshawytscha (Chinook salmon)
Lineage: Eukaryota; Metazoa; Chordata; Actinopteri; Salmoniformes; Salmonidae
Source: Ensembl
AUGGUUAAAGCCCUGAGAAAUAUGAAAUCUAUAAGCCUUGUGGUGACACUGUUAGUUCUCCCUCCACCCCCAGGUCUGAGUGCACUCAUCGAGUGCCACAGUCACGGCCAGCCCCCCCUCUACCUCUGCCAGGUGUGUGGGUGUAAAGUCUUCCAGAACGCCAUCAUCGUCCAUGUAACCACAGACUGCCACCGGCUUUCCUACCUGAGGUCGCUGAAGACAGUGGUUGUCCCCAAAGGGAACCAGCUCCAUAAGAAGUUGAGGAGAGCUGCCUUGAAGCUGGAGAGGACCAUGGGAUAUGGAGAGGCUGAGGUAACGGAGUUGGAUGCACACACUUACAAUUUUGUUGCAGAAAGAUCCUUUGCCAUUGGCCUGAACAUUGUAAUGAAGGUCAUAAAUGGUGACCCUUCACCUGACCCCCUACUGUUGGUCAGCCCUAAACCCCCUGACCCCUCACCCCAGGUCAGCCCUGACCCCUCACUCCAGGUGUCAGAGGUCAGCAACCCCACCAUGACCUCUACAGCUCUGUGGUCCUACCUGAAUGCCUCCACCAGGACACAGCCUGUCAUCGGUGUCAGUAUGUUGACAGAGUUGCCAGACAGACAUGGUGACUACUUCCUCUGCCGCUGCUGUUCUCACAGGAUGUUUACAUCAUCCCUCAUUGGACACCUAAUCUCUGCUCGACACCGCUACCACUACAUAAAACUAGUGUACCCUGAGCUGGCUGCUGAUUGGCCAGUGAGCCCAGAGCUGACGGUGAAGGCGGGGCCUCUUCAUGAGGAGCUGAGAGUGAGAGCUGCAGAACUGGAGGCACAGGAGGGACUAGGACAGCUCACGGUGGUAAAGAGAGAACCUGCUGCUGGAGACACAACCACUACCAAUACUGAAGGGACUGCCCAGCAGAGCCAGAACGGCUCACCUCCUCUCUCUGUGAAAGAGGAACCGGUUGACUCCACAGUACCAUCCCAGCCCCCUAGAGGAGAAAAGAGGAACAAGAGGAGGAGCAACCCUGUGGUUGGUGUGAACUUCCUGGUCCAGGUGUCCCACAGGAGAAGGAAACAGUACUACUGUCAGCUAUGUUCUGUCAGGAUGAAACACGCUAUUGCUGAUCACAUGACCAGCCUCAGCCACCGACACAACUAUGUGAGGUUGAAGUACCCUGGUUGGACCUCCAGCCCGGUAGAGAUGGAGAAGAAGCUGUUCAAAAUGGCCGUUCACCUGGAGAAGGUCGACAGAGACGCAGGAAUGGGCAUGCAGAAGGUAGAAGUGGAAGCUGAUGAGUACAAAGAGCUGUUGUCCUUUCCUGUGGAGGAAGGUGUCAGUAAACUGCAAGCCAUCAUCAGACGGCAACAAGAGCCAUGCGAUCUGAGACACACAGCUCCCUCGACCAAUCACAACCCAGAGGAUCUGAGACAGACAGCUCCCUUGUCCAAUCCCGAUGCAGCCCAAUGUCCAGCUCAAGGUAUGUGUGGGGCAGAGUCACGUGAGACCGAGGGAGUGUGUCCUCUCCCUGUCAGUCUAUCAGAGGAGGAGAAUGACCAGACGCUCCUGGUUCAGAUCUCAAGUGAGCCACAUAAAUAUCUCUAUCUGUCCAUAGGGGUGUGGUUCUUUACCUGA